This 581-nucleotide long non-coding RNA is filed under the name Homo sapiens (human). RNAcentral describes it as "HSALNT0361721". Lineage: Eukaryota; Metazoa; Chordata; Mammalia; Primates; Hominidae. The record is from RNAcentral.
GACCAAUUAGCAUUCCCCACUUCCUGAGACUCUACCCACCAAAUUAACCUUAAAAACUCCAGUCCCUGAAUUUCUGUGACCAGUCUCUGCUCUACAUAGUAUUUUCUCACACUUCCACAACACAGUAUUAGUAAUCUUUUUCAUAUUUAAAUUUUUGCCAAUCUGAGAGAUGGAAAAGAACUCAUUUUAGGUUGACUAAUUCAAUUAUGAGUAGGACUAUGCAUUUUUUUCUUUUUCUUUUUUUUCUUUGUUUCUUUUUUUCUGAGGCAGAGUUUCACUUUUGUCCUCCAGGCUGGAGAGCAAUGGCACGAUCUUGGCCCACUGAAACCUCCGCGUCCCGGGUUCAAGUGAUUCCCCUGCCUCAGGCUCUUGAGUAGCUGGGAUUACAUGUGCCCACCACCACGCCCAGCUAAUUUUUUGUAUUUUUAGUAGAGAUGGGGUUUCACCGUGUUGGCCACGCUGGUCUCGAACUCCUGACCUCAGGUGAUCCGCCUGCCGGAGCCUCCCAACGUGCUGGGAUUACAGGCGUGAGCCACUGCGCCCAGCCCGCUGGUCUCAAACUCCUGACCUCAGGUGAUCCG